GGAAAAGACCGAAGAGACUCGGGUUGGUCUCUAGCCGCGGCCGGAAACGCUCGGGUGGUAGCCCUUGAAUACCGGAAAUUGCCGAAGGCGCUCGGCUCCCCACAAGCUUCGGAAAUAGCCGACGAGGUUCGGAUUGGUUGUAGCACGGAUCGGAUUGGACGACCAGGAGAAGGGGGCGGGGCGGGGCGGAGACCGACCCAGGCGAUACUGACGUGGGGCCCGGGUGUCUGAGCCGCCGGUUCCUCGCUCGCUCCAGCACGCGGCAGCCGGAGCCUUCGCUAUAGAGUGGGAAACGCUCAGGGAAGGUCCGAGACAGGCACCCGUGAUCAUCACCCGGCAUCCCCACAGCCCCUGCCCCCCUCCUAGCUAUACAUCCCUACAGCCCCUAUAUAUUCCUACAGUCCCUGCUCUCCUAGCAAUACAUCUCUACAGCCCUGCUAUCCUCCUAGCCAAACAUUCCUACAGCCCCUAUAUAUUCCUAGUCCCUGCUCUCCUCCUAGCAAUACAUCUCUACAGUCUCUGCUCUCCCCCUAGCUAUACAUCCCUACAGCCCCUGUGCAGUUUCUAGCUAUACAUCCCUACAGCCCCUGAACCCCUCCUAGCUAUACAUCCCUGCAGCCCCUGUAACUCGUGUAGUUAUACAUUCCUACAGCCCCAGUCUCCCCCAGCUAUACAUUCCUAUACAUCCCUGCAGCCCCAUACCCCUCCUAGCUGUACAUCCCUACAGCCCCAGUACAUCUAUAUAGCCCCUUUACCCCUCCCUUUUAACAUCCCUCCCUCCUAUACUUUGUCACAGCCCCUAUUCCCCACCUCUCUAUAGAUUGAUACAGCCCUCCUAUCUAUACACUGCUAAAGCCCCUGUACACUUCCCUUCCCUACAUCCCUGCAGCCCCUCUUCACCUCCCUCUCCUACAUCUCUACAGCCCCUCCAGUUUCUCCACAAACCAUAUUUGGUGCAGUAGUAGUGCAAGCUUCCAUCCACUGCCCACCAAUAUGUCCACAGUCCUGACCUUGAGGCCCUAUAUCUAUGGGAUAAUGACAGUUCAUUCUCCAUUCCUUCUGAAUGUUUGUCUUUAAUGCGGAGACUGACAACAAGAGUACCAAUUGUGGCAGUGAUUUUGACACGUGACUUUUGCCCACUGGGAGAUAGACUGAACCAUUUCUUUACUAGAACUUUCCGCUACAAAAGCAGAGAACAACAUGCAUCUGCUGGCCUUGUGAUCACCGAGCCUUGCUUCAUUACCCAGAGAUUUGAGAAGCUGGAGUGAAUGAUGCCAAAUGCCCCCAACCCUGGCCCCUUUUCAUUGGCUGGAGAUCCUCAGUGUGAAGAAUCUGUCUGAUCUAGCAAGUCAGGUCUUCACACGCAAGCCAGAAAAGUAGGUUCUCUUCGCUGUACUCUGUUCGAAGAAACUCUCUGAAAAGGUUCCUACCAGCUGGUGUUUUCAUCAUCUUGUCAAAAUUCUGAGCCCAAGACAUAAUUUCAUCUGCAG
Molecule: long non-coding RNA, 1490 nt
Organism: Trachemys scripta elegans
Lineage: Eukaryota; Metazoa; Chordata; Testudines; Emydidae
Exons: 3
Source: RefSeq, a predicted model, not a curated record